This 465-nucleotide ribosomal RNA is filed under the name uncultured bacterium. Its description in RNAcentral is "bacterial SSU rRNA". It matches the Rfam family "Bacterial small subunit ribosomal RNA", at positions 335 to 792 of the family's 1533-position model. The record is from RNAcentral.
ACUCCUACGGGAGGCAGCAGUGGGGAAUAUUGGACAAUGGGGGAAACCCUGAUCCAGCCAUGCCGCGUGUGUGAAGAAGGCCUUCGGGUUGUAAAGCACUUUUCAGUGGGAGGAAAGGUUGUUGGUUAAUACCUAACAGCUGUGACGUUACCCACAGAAGAAGCACCGGCUAACUCCGUGCCAGCAGCCGCGGUAAUACGGAGGGUGCAAGCGUUAAUCGGAAUUACUGGGCGUAAAGCGUGCGCAGGCGGUCUGUUAAGCGAGAUGUGAAAGCCCCGGGCUCAACCUGGGAACUGCAUUUCGAACUGGCAGACUAGAGUCUUGUAGAGGGGGUAGAAUUCCAGGUGUAGCGGUGAAAUGCGUAGAGAUCUGGAGGAAUACCGGUGGCGAAGGCGGCCCCUGGACAAAGACUGACGCUCAGGCACGAAAGCGUGGGGGAGCAAACAGGAUUAGAUACCCCUGGUA